Molecule: ribosomal RNA, 91 nt
Organism: Rhinopithecus bieti (black snub-nosed monkey)
Lineage: Eukaryota; Metazoa; Chordata; Mammalia; Primates; Cercopithecidae
Source: Ensembl
AUCUACCACCAUACCCCCCUGAACAUGCCUGAUCUCAUCCAUUCUCGGAAGCUAAGCAGGGUCCAGCCUGGUUGGUACUGGAUGAGAGAUC